Molecule: non-coding RNA, 34 nt
Organism: Olsenella sp. An285
Lineage: Bacteria; Bacillati; Actinomycetota; Coriobacteriia; Coriobacteriales; Atopobiaceae
Source: Rfam
GCCCUGGUCGGAAACCAGGGCCGAAGAAGAGGAG